GUAGGUGGUGCUAGAGGCGACCGGGGGAUUGUAGGGCGACGGCGCUGCCGCCAUUUUGUGGGGUGUUUGUCGCAGCGGCCGAGGAGGGAAGACGGCAGUUUGGCGACAUUUCUCGGCCGAAGGGCCAUUUGCUUUUGCGGAGAUGCGGCAUUCCAAAAGAACUCACUGUCCUGAUUGGGAUAGCAGAGAAAGCUGGGGACAUGAAAGCUACCGUGGAAGUCACAAGCGGAAGAGGAGAUCUCAUAGUAGCACACAAGAGAACAGGCAUUGUAAACCACAUCACCAGUUUAAAGAAUCUGAUUGUGCUCCAUGUGCAUCCCUCUUGAAGCUUCGCACUCUGUUGAAGAGGACACUCAUCCCAGUCAUUAUUUAGAAGCAAGGUCCUUGAAUGAGCGAGAUUAUCGGGACCGGAGAUACGUUGACGAGUACAGGAAUGACUACUGUGAAGGAUAUGUUCCUAGACAUUAUCACAGAGACAUUGAAAACGGUUAUCGAAUCCACUGCAGUAAAUCUUCAGUCCGCAGCAGGAGAAGCAGUCCUAAAAGGAAGCGCAAUAGACACUGUUCAAGUCAUCAGUCACGUUCGGUAUGAUUGGUUUUGUUUUUAAUUUGAGUGGAGUUUUAUUUGUGUGUACUCUUAAUGAGCUGAUAAGUUUCUAAUUUUUUAUAUAUGUAUAUAAAAUACUAUUUGGAUAUAUUAUAAUUGUAUUUAUAUUACUUAAAUCCUUAAAGGAAAUCUCCAAAUUCUUGUAGCUGAUCUGUAUAUUUAUUAGCUAGCCCUCAUUUGCCCACAUUUCCUCAUAUUCUGCAGACCAGAUAAUGAGUUUAUUGAUUUUAAUAAUAAGAAUAUUUUUGUAUUUGUAACAUAUUCUUAUGAAAAAAUCACGCACCCAUAUCUUUUCUUUCAUCUUAAGCAUUUUUUUUUCUUAGAAAGCCUUUAUCUGGUACUUGAAAAUAAAUGUGAAACAUUGCACUGGUGGAUACCUAAAUGUUGCUAACCUGCAUAGAUUAUAGUUCCAUAGUACAGUGCAUCGUUGUCUGCAAUGCAUUCUUUUGAAGUUAUGAAAAUGGGUGCUGAAUGGGAAACAUCCAAAAAGUCUGCCCCCCCCACCUUUUUUUUUAACACUCGGACAUCUUCACCUGCUUGAACAGAGAACUUUGAAUUAGUUUCUCCCCAAGUUUUCUUCAGUAAAACUAGUUUUUAUUAGAUUGAACAUUGAAAUUAAAUAGCCUUUAUUUUCCCCUUUUAUUUUAAUCGUGUAUAUUUUAAAAUAUUGCUAAAUUAGAAUAAUUUCAAAUAGUCUUGACAUUUUAAAACAUUUUUCUGACAAACUAGACAUCUCAAUUCACAGCAUAUCCUAUUUAUAGCAAGAGAUAAGUAAAUCAUGACAUUGCAUUCUUUAAAUUUCAGACUUCAAUUAAAUCAGUAUUUUAAAGAGACAAUUGUGUUGUUUUUUUCUAUUGCAACUUUAAGUAUCUUAUCUGAAAAUCUGUUCCUUGCCAUGUUUUUCUUCUGUAACAUAAACUGUGCCCUGUGAAUUUCUGGGGACUGAAUUUGAAAUUGCUCCUGCCAACUGUUCGUGGCCUGGUGCUUAUCUGAAUGCCUGAAUAUCUCCCCGCUGAAUGAAUUGCGUAUUCUGCCCUGAAUUCACUCUGAUAUAUUGAUUGGCUGGACGAUCUUGGUGCUGCCCACUUGCCGUUCCAGAAGAGCCACCGAAGGAAAAGAUCCAGGAGUAUAGAGGAUGAUGAGGAGGGUCACCUGAUCUGUCAAAGUGGAGACGUUCUAAGAGCAAGAUAUGAAAUCGUGGACACUUUGGGUGAAGGAGCCUUUGGCAAAGUUGUAGAGUGCAUUGAUCAUGGCAUGGAUGGCAUGCAUGUAGCAGUGAAAAUCGUAAAAAAUGUAGGCCGUUACCGUGAAGCAGCUCGUUCAGAAAUCCAAGUAUUAGAGCACUUAAAUAGUACUGAUCCCAAUAGUGUCUUCCGAUGUGUCCAGAUGCUAGAAUGGUUUGAUCAUCAUGGUCAUGUCUGUAUUGUGUUUGAACUGCUGGGACUUAGUACUUAUGAUUUCAUUAAAGAAAACAGCUUUCUGCCAUUUCAAAUUGACCACAUCAGGCAGAUGGCGUAUCAGAUCUGCCAGUCAAUAAAUUUUUUACAUCAUAAUAAAUUAACCCAUACAGAUCUGAAGCCUGAAAAUAUUUUAUUUGUGAAGUCUGACUAUGUAGUCAAAUAUAAUUCUAAAAUGAAACGUGAUGAACGCACACUGAAAAACACAGAUAUCAAAGUUGUUGACUUUGGAAGUGCAACGUAUGAUGAUGAACAUCACAGUACUUUGGUGUCUACCCGGCACUACAGAGCUCCCGAGGUCAUUUUGGCUUUAGGUUGGUCUCAGCCUUGUGAUGUUUGGAGCAUAGGUUGCAUUCUUAUUGAAUAUUACCUUGGUUUCACAGUCUUUCAGACUCAUGAUAGUAAAGAGCACCUGGCAAUGAUGGAACGAAUAUUAGGACCUAUACCACAACACAUGAUUCAGAAAACAAGAAAACGCAAGUAUUUUCACCAUAACCAGCUAGAUUGGGAUGAACACAGUUCUGCUGGUAGAUAUGUUAGGAGACGCUGCAAACCAUUAAAGGAAUUUAUGCUUUGUCAUGAUGAAGAACAUGAGAAACUGUUUGACCUGGUUCGAAGAAUGUUAGAAUAUGAUCCAACUCAAAGAAUUACCUUGGAUGAAGCAUUGCAGCAUCCUUUCUUUGACUUAUUAAAAAAGAAAUGAAAUGGGAAUCAGUGGUCUUACUAUAUACUUCUCUAGAAGAGAUUACUUAAGACUGUGUCAGUCAACUAAACAUUCUAAUAUUUUUGUAAACAUUAAAUUAUUUUGUACAGUUAAGUGUAAAUACUGUAUGUUUUGUAUCAAUAGCAUAAUUAACUUGUUAAGCAAGUAUGGUCUUGAUAAUGCAGUAGAAAAAUUAAAAUUAAUUUUUCUUUUUGAAAUUACCAUUUUUAAAUACCUUUGAAAUAUCCUUUGUGUCCAGUGACAAAUGUGAUUGAUCUUGCCUUUUGUACAUGGAGGUCACCUCUGAAGUGAUUUUUUUUGAGUAAAAGGAAAUCUUGACUACUUUAUAUUCUUAAAGGAAUAUUCUUUAUAUACUUCAAAUUUAGAACUUAACUUUAAAAGUUUUUUUUCUGUAAUUGUUGAACAGGUGAUUAUUAUUAACUCUAGAUAAGCAGGUACUAGAAACCGAAACUCAGAAAAUGUUUACUGUUAGAAUUCUAUUAAAUUUUAAGUGUUGUAUUCUUUUUCAUUGGGUGAUAUCAGGGUGAUAAGCAGACAUUCAUGGAAAGGCUUGCUUUGUCCAUUGUGACAGUUUGUUUAAUAAAACCACAUACACACUCUAUUUAAGAUUAAAAUCUAACUGGAAAGUCAGCUUGGAAAAUGGACAUUUCCAAGUAUGUUUGGUGAGUCACAGAUAUAAAAAUAGAAAUUCUGAUGAGGUUUCAGUUUUUAAUACCUAGUCCUUAGGAGUCUUAACAUUGGCCAGCAUCUGUUUAUCAAAUGACAUAAAUACGUAAACCUAUGAGAAUUAAGUUUAUUAAUUAGGCAGUUUAUGUUUGUGAUAAUUCUUAUGGGAGAAAGAGGAUUUGAUUGGAAAGCAUUUUGGGAAGAUAGUGCUGCUGAAAUUUCCAGAAUUUAAUUGAUUGGUUAACAUAAACUUUUUGACUUUA
This 3716-nucleotide small RNA is filed under the name Pongo abelii (Sumatran orangutan). RNAcentral describes it as "retained intron". Lineage: Eukaryota; Metazoa; Chordata; Mammalia; Primates; Hominidae. The record is from RNAcentral.